GCUCCCGUCGUCUAGUCAGGUCUAGGACACCUGGUUUUCAUCCAGGCGACACGGGUUCGAAUCCCGUCGGGAGUA
RNAcentral lists this transfer RNA (75 nucleotides) under Phycisphaera mikurensis. RNAcentral describes it as "tRNA-Glu". It matches the Rfam family "tRNA". From Rfam's summary of the family: Transfer RNA (tRNA) molecules are approximately 80 nucleotides in length. RNAcentral also lists the same sequence under 1 other name. Lineage: Bacteria; Pseudomonadati; Planctomycetota; Phycisphaerae; Phycisphaerales; Phycisphaeraceae. The record is from RNAcentral.